RNAcentral lists this unclassified non-coding RNA (378 nucleotides) under plant metagenome. RNAcentral's name for it is "partial contains 5.8S ribosomal RNA, internal transcribed spacer 2, and large subunit ribosomal RNA". The stretch from base 1 to 105 matches the Rfam family "5.8S ribosomal RNA", at positions 50 to 154 of the family's 154-position model. The record is from RNAcentral.
GAAAUGCGAUAAGUAAUGUGAAUUGCAGAAUUCAGUGAAUCAUCGAAUCUUUGAACGCAUCUUGCGCUCCUUGGUAUUCCUUGGAGCAUGCCUGUUUGAGUAUCAUGAAAUCUUCAAAGUAAAUCUUUUGUUAACUCAAUUGGUUUCUACUUUGGUAUUGGAGGUCUUUGCAGCUUCACACCUGCUCCUCUUUGUUCAUUAGCUGGAUCUCAGUGUUAUGCUUGGUUCCACUCGGCGUGAUAAGUUAUCUAUCGCUGAGGACACUGUAAAAGGUGGCCAAGGUAAAUGCAGAUGAACCGCUUCUGAUAGUCCAUUGACUUGGACAAUACUUUUAUGAUCUGAUCUCAAAUCAGGUAGGACUACCCGCUGAACUUAAGC